RNAcentral lists this ribosomal RNA (481 nucleotides) under uncultured bacterium. RNAcentral describes it as "SSU rRNA". It matches the Rfam family "Bacterial small subunit ribosomal RNA", at positions 26 to 518 of the family's 1533-position model. The record is from RNAcentral.
AGAUUGAACGCUGGCGGCAUGCCUAACACAUGCAAGUCGAACGGCAGCACAGUGGUAGCAAUACCAUGGGUGGCGAGUGGCGGACGGGUGAGUAAUGCAUCGGGACCUACCUGAACGUGGGGGAUAACGUAGGGAAACUUACGCUAAUACCGCAUACGUCCUACGGGAGAAAGCGGGGGAUCUUCGGACCUCGCGCGGUCAGACGGACCGAUGUUCGAUUAGCUAGUUGGUAAGGUAAUGGCUUACCAAGGCGACGAUCGAUAGCUGGUCUGAGAGGAUGAUCAGCCACACUGGAACUGAGACACGGUCCAGACUCCUACGGGAGGCAGCAGUGGGGAAUAUUGGACAAUGGGCGAAAGCCUGACGCAGCGACGCCGCGUGGGGGAUGAAGGCCUUCGGGUUGUAACCCUUUCAGCAGGGACGAAGCGAAAGUGACGGUACCUGCAGAAGAAGCGCCGGCUAACUACGUGCCAGCAGCCGC